This 290-nucleotide long non-coding RNA is filed under the name Mytilus galloprovincialis (Mediterranean mussel). Lineage: Eukaryota; Metazoa; Mollusca; Bivalvia; Mytilida; Mytilidae. The record is from RNAcentral.
CGCUGUUUGAUUUUUUGUCGUUUUUUCUCUUUUUCUUUACCUUGGCAUUGUCAGUUUGACACUGCAAUAUUUGCAACAUACAAUUUUGUGAACAUUGUGGUAUGUUAUUUAGUUAGUACCUGCAUGCGCUCUUUGUUUGAGGGUCCAACAAUAAUAAAAUAAUACCAAAAUAUAGAAACAUAAAGUGGAGCCUCUCAGCAACAUUUAUUGUUGUGAGUGUAGAACAAUCUAGCUGCGAUAUGAAUGUAGUUGUGGGCAUUGAACACUCUAGCUGCGGAUAUCAAUGAGUG